ACGCUCGACACCUACGUGAGGCAGCAGUGGGGAAUAUUGGGCAAUGGAGGAAACUCUGACCCAGCAACGCCGCGUGAAUGAUGAAGGUCUUUGGAUUGUAAAGUUCUUUUCUAAGGGACGAAGAAAGUGACGGUACCUUAGGAAUAAGCCUCGGCUAACUACGUGCCUGCAGCCGCGGUAAUCUGAGCGGGCUGGCAAGGC
RNAcentral lists this ribosomal RNA (201 nucleotides) under uncultured bacterium. RNAcentral describes it as "partial 16S ribosomal RNA". It matches the Rfam family "Bacterial small subunit ribosomal RNA", at positions 328 to 539 of the family's 1533-position model. The record is from RNAcentral.